RNAcentral lists this ribosomal RNA (220 nucleotides) under uncultured bacterium. RNAcentral's name for it is "partial 16S ribosomal RNA". It matches the Rfam family "Bacterial small subunit ribosomal RNA", at positions 524 to 739 of the family's 1533-position model. The record is from RNAcentral.
UACGAAGGGGGCUAGCGUUGUUCGGAAUUAUUGGGCGUAAAGCGCUUGUAGGCGGCUACGUCAAGUCGCGUGUGAAAGUCCCCAGGCUUAACCUGGGAAGUGCGCGCGAAACUGACGAGCUUGAGUGCCGGAGAGGGUCGCGGAAUUCCCGGUGUAGAGGUGAAAUUCGUAGAUAUCGGGAGGAACACCAGUGGCGGAAGGCGGACGACCUGGACGGACG